Molecule: ribosomal RNA, 904 nt
Filed under: uncultured bacterium
Lineage: Bacteria
Description: bacterial SSU rRNA
Rfam family: Bacterial small subunit ribosomal RNA
Source: RNAcentral
GCCCUUAGAGUUUGAUCCUGGCUCAGGAUGAACGCUAGCUACAGGCUUAACACAUGCAAGUCGAGGGGAAACGACAUCGAAAGCUUGCUUUCGAUGGGCGUCGACCGGCGCACGGGUGAGUAACGCGUAUCCAACCUGCCCAUCACUUGGGGAUAACCUUGCGAAAGUAAGACUAAUACCCAAUGACGUCUCUAGAAGACAUCUGAAGGAGAUUAAAGAUUUAUCGGUGAUGGAUGGGGAUGCGUCUGAUUAGCUUGUUGGCGGGGUAACGGCCCACCAAGGCGACGAUCAGUAGGGGUUCUGAGAGGAAGGUCCCCCACAUUGGAACUGAGACACGGUCCAAACUCCUACGGGAGGCAGCAGUGAGGAAUAUUGGUCAAUGGGCGAGAGCCUGAACCAGCCAAGUAGCGUGCAGGAUGACGGCCCUAUGGGUUGUAAACUGCUUUUAUAAGGGAAUAAAGUGAGCCUCGUGAGGCUUUUUGCAUGUACCUUAUGAAUAAGGACCGGCUAAUUCCGUGCCAGCAGCCGCGGUAAUACGGAAGGUCCGGGCGUUAUCCGGAUUUAUUGGGUUUAAAGGGAGCGUAGGCCGGAGAUUAAGCGUGUUGUGAAAUGUAGACGCUCAACGUCUGCACUGCAGCGCGAACUGGUUUCCUUGAGUACGCACAAAGUGGGCGGAAUUCGUGGUGUAGCGGUGAAAUGCUUAGAUAUCACGAAGAACUCCGAUUGCGAAGGCAGCUCACUGGAGCGCAACUGACGCUGAAGCUCGAAAGUGCGGGUAUCGAACAGGAUUAGAUACCCUGGUAGUCCGCACGGUAAACGAUGGAUGCCCGCUGUUGGUCUGAAUAGGUCAGCGGCCAAGCGAAAGCAUUAAGCAUCCCACCUGGGGAGUACGCCGGCAACGGUG